CUCACUUUCUUCUCCGGCUGGCCACCGCGGUCCGCUCUGUGCUGUUCUCCGGCUCGCCGCCGCGCUCCCCCCCCCCCACCAUGGAUUCCGCGCUCUCCUCCCCUACCUUCGGUGGCCUCGCCGCGCUCCUCUCCUCCUUCCCGCGGCGAACUUGCAAAAAGGUUGGACCUUUGAGUUCAAGCCGGCGAAGGAUUCCGUCGAUGCGAGGCCGAAGGCGCCAGAUCCAGACCACUACCAACACGACGCCGGCAGCAACCUUCCCACAAGCGGCGGCCAUGGCGUUUCCGCCCCGUCGGAGGCGGCCGCCUCGCCGUCGGCCUCGGCCGUCCAGCUGGAGCCGCGGGUGGAGCAGCACUGCAGUGGGAGGGCGGGUACUGGGUGCUCAAGGAGAAGUACCACACCAGCCUCAGCUCACCAAGCUGCCCAUGGAGUAGGUCGACACCGACAAGCUCACCAAGGAGGACGUCGAUAUGCGACUCAAGUGGCUCGGCCUCUUCCUCAGCCGCAAGCAGCAGUGUAUGCCCCUGCUCUGUCAAGCAGCAACAACAGAGGCGGGGGCGGGGAAUACCAGCAGCAACAGAGGUGAGGGCGGGCGCGACCUUCGGAGGAGGGCCAACACGGAGAGGAGAGGUUGAGCAGGGCCAACGCGGCGAUGAAGACCCUGGGCCAGAGCAGCGAUGAAGACCCAGCGCCGCGACGGCGUCCAAAAUUGUCCGCGGCGACGGCGGCCAAGGCGGACCAUACCGAGGACCUAGUCGUCGAUUUACUGCUUCUUGGCACGAUUCAGAAGGAGGUGACGAAGAGGAAGAACUUUAGGAGCAAUCCCGCUGCUCAGGUAGGCGAGGGCACAGCCAUGGCGGCUGCGCAGCUGGGCGGCGGCGCAAAGCGCCUCCGUGAAGGUCCUGCGCGUCUCCUCCACGACGACGCAGGGCAUCUACUGCACAGGCGGCUGGGUCCUGCGACGCGCGGAGACUCUCUCUGGGUGCUGAGGAGAACGGGGGAGGAAGACGGGGGAUGGUGGCCGGAGCCGGCGACGCGCGAGCGACGGUGGAGUAGUGAGGAAGGAGACGGGGGCGUUUUUUCAAAUGAUUCAAAAGUAUAAGGACAUGUUUGCAAAAUGCAUAAUGUACAGCAGUCGCGACAUCUAAUUCCGAACGGAGGGAGUAGCAUAUUGUACUUAGCAUUAGGCAAAUCAGCUAAACAUGAAGAUGCGGACGUCCGCAUGUGCCCGCCAGCCAUAGCAAGCAGUCAAAACUUGCGGACGCGUCCGCAGUGUA
Triticum dicoccoides is the source of this 1277-nucleotide long non-coding RNA. RefSeq lists it as uncharacterized. The transcript is spliced from 2 exons. The record is from RefSeq and is a predicted model, not a curated record. Lineage: Eukaryota; Viridiplantae; Streptophyta; Magnoliopsida; Poales; Poaceae.